This 1842-nucleotide long non-coding RNA is filed under the name Panax ginseng (ginseng). RNAcentral's name for it is "long non-coding RNA (PGIN_LNC018791)". The record is from RNAcentral. Lineage: Eukaryota; Viridiplantae; Streptophyta; Magnoliopsida; Apiales; Araliaceae.
UAUCACGACCAUUAUUUGUUCAUUCUCUUAAUCACUCAUACAUACUACUAGCUAAUAAAUAUACCAUACUUGGAUUAGAAAUUUCUUUGAUAAGACUAUUGAUUUUUCAUUUUGCGUAACAGAGGAAGUAUGUACACAUGUACUAUUUAUUUGGAGCAUCGAGCAUGGUAUGUGAAAUCUUGUCCGCUAGAAAGAGAUCCAAAUUCGCUUUUGCCAGGUGUAUGCAUGUAUGGCCGGUACUAAAAGGAAUAUACCCAAACUGUCAUAAUAUAAUAUUUGCAUGGUUUACAACACAUUCAAACGAUUCCUUCCCCCCUACCCCCUACCCCUAGCACUACCCCUAUCCCUAAUAACUAGUAAGUAGCCUGUCAUCCUCAUCUCACAUAACAAACUAGUUGCCCUAGUAAAUAAUAGAGCUAGCUACACAGUUCUUUAGUAAAGAACAAAUUUAAUUUCUAAAUGAGUGUUCGUGCGUGCACACAGUAGAAAUGGCCUUUAGUGUAAAGUUUGUGUCCGACCUGAUAAUCAGUAUGAGAAUACUCCACAUUUAGACAUUACUCAAUUGUGCUUUAAUAAUAAAAGAUCAUGCCCAAGUGGAAGACCGGUUGUUGAAAUAAUAGUACGAUUAAAUGGUUUUAAUUCGUUUUUUUUUUACCUAACAUGGAAUUCGAUUUCCGGUCCAACCCGAUUUUCAUAACCGAAGCACAAUUGAAUAUUGGGAGCCUAUUUAAAAUAAAAAUACCCAAGCUACCUAGCCUUCGUAUACAAAUUGCUUCAAAAGAGGAUCUCAUUCACAAGUGAGGAUCCAAACCCUUGUUAAGUUAACAUGUGAAGUAAGAUUUCCAGAGGAAUCAAGAAUUUGGAGACGCCACAAAAUUUGAAAAUAAAAUCGUCUCAAUCUCACCACCACCUCCCCACCAACUAAAAAACCUAGUCAAAUAAACCGUAUAGCAUGAUGGGUCCCAGCCCAAAAAAGCUAUUCACCGUCUCGACUCCUUGGCCAAACCAAACCAAGCCAAGCCCUUAUAAAAUGUCACUUCCUUAGGCCAUGGAGAUGCUGCACCAUUCUUUUUCAGUCCAAUAUUCUUAUUGAAUUCUAAUAGUAGUAAUAAUAAUAAUAAUACAGGAGAUCAGAGUUUGAAGAGGAGCUAGAGACGUACCAACUCAUACACAAGCACCGUGGCUGCUAUGAGACACUUAUCAUGUAUAGUAUUAACAGUUGUAAUGAUAAUGUUCAUAUUCUUUACUCAGCCAAGUAUUGUAGAUUCUAGAGUGCUUCUUCAUUCAACUUCAGCAACAAAGAAUGAGAAGAUUGCCGGCUCCAAAACGGCAGGCGGGCUUCCGGCUACCGGAAUAUCUGCACCUUCGGUUUCAGUAAGCCAUUUUGUUGAAAGAAAUCGAGUAUAUACACUAGCCUCUGGCCCGAGCAGAAAAGGACCUGGGCACAAGUGAAUUCCCAUUCCAAUUUCACCUUUUUUUCCUUCAUUUCAUUUGGUUUGUACUUAAAACAUUGGAGGUGUAUCAUAUUAAGAAUAUAGUGCAGCUAUAGUCUAUAGAUAUGAUUAGCUAAGCUCACUUUCUAUAUUUAAGAAAUUCUUUCAUUCUCUUUUCAGCUUUUGUAUGCGAACGUAUAAGCAGAACUCGACCAAUAUGGUCUAUGUUUCCAAUGAAAUAGUAGAAAUUAUGAACAUAGCUACCUACUAUUUUUAUUUUUUUAUUUUUGAUGACCACAAACAUUGACGACAUAUUAAAUUUUAAAAUUGGUAUGACUCAUAAAAGUUUAGAAUGAUAAAUUUUAAAAUUAAUAGUUUUUGUUAAUGUACUAUACAAUUAUAAUAAUUG